GUAAAUAAAGUUUAUUAAAACGUCAGACUGUGAAUCUGGAAACAGGGGAUAAAAUCCCCUUAUUUACC
This 68-nucleotide transfer RNA is filed under the name Cricetulus longicaudatus (long-tailed hamster). Its description in RNAcentral is "tRNA-His". It matches the Rfam family "tRNA". Rfam says of the family: Transfer RNA (tRNA) molecules are approximately 80 nucleotides in length. Their secondary structure includes four short double-helical elements and three loops (D, anti-codon, and T loops). The record is from RNAcentral. Lineage: Eukaryota; Metazoa; Chordata; Mammalia; Rodentia; Cricetidae.